AUCUAUGGCCAUCCCACCCUGAACAAGCCCGAUCCCGUCUGAUCUCAGAAGCUAAGCAGGGUUGGGCCUGGUUAGUACUUGGAUGGGAGACCACCUAGGAAGACCAGGUGCUGUAGGCA
RNAcentral lists this ribosomal RNA (119 nucleotides) under Pteropus alecto (black flying fox). Lineage: Eukaryota; Metazoa; Chordata; Mammalia; Chiroptera; Pteropodidae. The record is from RNAcentral.